UUCACCCUGACACACGCACACAUACACGCUCACAACACAGUCAGACACACACAUUUACAGUCUGUCUGACUGCAGUAGUGGAGCUCCGGCAGCAGAAAUCCGGUCGGAAAGGAUUCCUUCCAUUUUUACGCGCAACUUUUCCUCCGUCGGCCGCCUCGCCGCAACGUUUCCACCGCUUCCCCUCGACUGUUUUGGAUUUCUAACAACCAUCUCCCGGCUGUUUCUAACGGGCAACCAGCGAGGAGUGCAAGCCCGCCCGGAAUCGGAUCUCCUGUCACCGGGGUUUGCUUGUUGUCAUUCUCGCACGGAGACGGAGACGCGCAGCCGGAGCGCAGGCAGAAGGGGCAGUUUGUGGACUUGAUAAACUGGACGAGAGGACAAACAGUUACACCAGAUGGCCCCAUGAAGACACUCCCAUUAAAACUGAACUGACCCCCUGCAGACCACCAGGUGUGAGAAAACUGAAUGACUUUUGAAGCUACAGAAAGAGCAUCUACAAGCACUUUUGCCUGAAGAAAAAUCAAUCAAAGGUUCUUCUGCCUUUAGAUGAACUGGACACAAAAACAAUGCACAGCAACAUUAGUGUUUUUACAAAAUGGCUAAAGGAGAGAAACACC
Molecule: long non-coding RNA, 617 nt
Organism: Amphiprion ocellaris (clown anemonefish)
Lineage: Eukaryota; Metazoa; Chordata; Actinopteri; Pomacentridae
Source: Ensembl